GUUGCCGGACGAAAGGGGGUGAGCGGUCCCGGCAACGGGGCGGGCGUAAAUGCUUUCACACAGAAUGGUAUCCGUCAAACUAAGCAGCCAUUCAUAUCUAACCGACUAGGGGGA
This 114-nucleotide non-coding RNA is filed under the name Candidatus Poribacteria bacterium WGA-4E. RNAcentral describes it as "Poribacteria-1 RNA". It matches the Rfam family "Poribacteria-1 RNA". Lineage: Bacteria; Candidatus Poribacteria. The record is from Rfam by way of RNAcentral.